UAAGACAGAGGGGGCAAGCGUUGCUCGGAAUCACUGGGCGUAAAGGGCGUGUAGGCGGGAUGGCAAGUCGGUCGUGAAAGCCUUCGGCUCAACCGAAGAAGUGCGUCCGAUACUGCUGUCCUUGAGGGUUGGAGAGGAGACUGGAAUUCCCGGUGUAGCGGUGAAAUGUGUAGAGAUCGGGAGGAACACCGGUGGCGAAGGCGGGUCUCUGGCCAAUUCCUGACGCUGAGGCGCGAAAGCGUGGGGAGCAAACGGGA
This 257-nucleotide ribosomal RNA is filed under the name uncultured prokaryote. RNAcentral describes it as "partial 16S ribosomal RNA". It matches the Rfam family "Bacterial small subunit ribosomal RNA", at positions 521 to 777 of the family's 1533-position model. The record is from RNAcentral.